UACGAAGGGGGCUAGCGUUGUUCGGAAUUACUGGGCGUAAAGCGCGUGUAGGCGGGCCUUUAAGUCAGGGGUGAAAUGCCAGGGCUCAACCUUGGAACUGCCUUUGAUACUGGAGACCUUGAGUCCGGGAGAGGUGAGUGGAAUUGCGAGUGUAGAGGUGAAAUUCGUAGAUAUCGGGAGGAACACCGGUGGCGAAGGCGGCGAUCUGGGUAGAUACUGACGCUGAGGUGCGAAAGCGUGGGGAGCAAACAGG
Molecule: ribosomal RNA, 253 nt
Filed under: uncultured bacterium
Lineage: Bacteria
Description: partial 16S ribosomal RNA
Rfam family: Bacterial small subunit ribosomal RNA
Source: RNAcentral